AGUGAACGCUGGCGGUAGGCCUAACACAUGCAAGUCGAACGGCAGCGCAGUAAGAGCUUGCUCUUACGGGUGGCGAGUGGCGGACGGGUGAGGAAUACAUCGGAAUCUACUUUUUCGUGGGGGAUAACGUAGGGAAACUUACGCUAAUACCGCAUACGACCUACGGGUGAAAGCAGGGGAUCUUCGGACCUUGCGCGAUUGAAUGAGCCGAUGUCGGAUUAGCUAGUUGGCGGGGUAAAGGCCCACCAAGGCGACGAUCCGUAGCUGGUCUGAGAGGAUGAUCAGCCACACUGGAACUGAGACACGGUCCAGACUCCUACGGGAGGCAGCAGUGGGGAAUAUUGGACAAUGGGCGCAAGCCUGAUCCAGCCAUACCGCGUGGGCGAAGAAGGCCUUCGGGUUGUAAAGCCCUUUUGUUGGGAAAGAAAAGCAGCAGGUUAAUACCCCGCUGUUCUGACGGUACCCAAAGAAUAAGCACCGGCUAACUUCGUG
RNAcentral lists this ribosomal RNA (492 nucleotides) under uncultured bacterium. RNAcentral describes it as "partial 16S ribosomal RNA". It matches the Rfam family "Bacterial small subunit ribosomal RNA", at positions 29 to 507 of the family's 1533-position model. The record is from RNAcentral.